RNAcentral lists this long non-coding RNA (1117 nucleotides) under Cricetulus griseus (Chinese hamster). RNAcentral describes it as "lncRNA (ENSCGRG00015038232.1)". The record is from RNAcentral. Lineage: Eukaryota; Metazoa; Chordata; Mammalia; Rodentia; Cricetidae.
CCUGGUUUAAUCCUCAGUGUGAUGGUAGGAAAUGUCCCCAUUGACCCUAUCUGGUUGCCCUGUUUGGGGAAACUAUAUAACUUUUAGGAUGUGGGGCCCAGCUGGGGGAAGUAGGCAGGCCUGGAGGAUGAGAGCCGGGUGCAGCACCCAUUCAUUCUCCUGUCUGCUUCUGGGCUUACUGACAGAGUAUAAGUAGUCUGCUGACCUAGUGCUGCUGCCUCCCGCUCUCCCAGGAUGAUUGGCUGGGAAACCAAUCAUCAAGUUGCAAAUCCAAAAGAAUCCAUCUUUCAGGCUUUUUACCGCUGCUGGUUAUAUUCAGCACUUCAGCUAAGAGACAAACUCACAGGAUCACAGAAAGGAGAGACACACGCCUUUGUCAGGCUUACUCAUAUGGCCCUUUAAGAUCACUCAUGUCUCUGAGUCUAUUGGUGCAGACCUGUAAUCCCAGGACAUGAGGUAGGAGGAUCAGAGGGUCAAUUCGAGGCCUGGGUAAUAUGGGAAUGAGGUCCUGUCUCAGAAAUAAGGGGGGAACCAUCAUUCACAUCCAGUUAUUUGUCACCAGCUCUAGACUCACAGAGGGACUUUCCUUUGGGGAAGACAUGAAAUCGAUUCCUGGAAUGCUGGAUCAGGGAGCCAAUCAGUCUCUCAGGACAGGACCACCCCUGAAUGAAGUGAUGAAGAAUGAUCUGGACCUGCCCAGCUUUAAAACAGACACAUAAUUCCUUCUGAGAAGGAAAAAAGGCAGCCAGCAAGCAGGCUCAGAAAGCAUAAAGGAGAGGGAUGUAGACUGUAAGAGCAGGAAGACAACAGGAAAUGCUUGAAAUGCUAUCUUCUGGACACCACACAGCUGUUGCACUCCUGAACUCACAGCUAUGAUUAUCUGCAGGAGAUCAAGCCCGUCAACAUCCCAGCGUGGAUGCAAGAGGAACUCAGAGGCUUCAACCCAGCAGGCGAUCUUUUGGCAGUUGAUGGCUGCUGGAAGAGGGAGAGUCUUUUCUCUUGAGGGCGGGUGGUUGCUGGUAGGCUGCCCAUGCUAUCACAGAGCACCCCUCACCCAUGAGCACACAAGCAGCACUAAGUGGACUCAGUGGGUUAUUAAAAAUAAAGAGGAUAUGAG